CUGUCAUCUAAACCCACCACACGAUCCAAAUAAAGAACACCCAAGCGCUCCAUCGAUCCAAUCCCCCUCCCCCACUUCCUUUCACGUUUCGAAUUUUAAAAACUUUUUUUUUUAAUAAAUCCAUUUGCCUAUUUAAGCAUCAACCAAUUUGAAAUUCAAUUCUGUUGUUUUCGGUGUCUGAUUUUAAUUGACGGUAGAAAAUGAAGGUGGAAGAAGAGUGUACGACUCCGAAGAGCAUGGGAUGUCAGAUUCCGACUGCCAUUGUUUGUCCACCACCUCCCAAGAAGAAGUCGGUGGUCGGAAAGAAACGAGACCCACCAAAAGACGGGUAUUUUCAAACGCCUGAGCUUGAUGCUCUGCUUUCUAUUUUCACGUCAUAGAUAUGAAGCUUGGGCAUAAUCCGCCCUAAAUAUGCAUUUUUAAUAUCGUUUAUUUAUUCUAUUUUAGGGACUGGAGGGGCUUAGUUUUAAAUUAGAAUUAAGGGAGUAAUCAAGAGAUGGGGACAUUAGAUGCAUUUUUCUAUUUCUGUAGAUAUAAAUGUGUCUCCUGUUAUGUUAAUGUUAGUGAGAUUUCUAAAUUUAUUAGAAUUUAGGGAGUGUAAUGGGUGACGAUUCCGUUGCUUCGAAUUGCUGGUCAGUUCAUUGCCUUUUCCUUUUCUAGUAGUUUUUAUGCUCUUGCAAUGCAUUUAUUUACUUAUUGAUUUUCCAAUCUCAAGAGAAUUGUCAAGGCACCGAAACUUUUCUCAGAUCUCUGUAAGCAGGCCGUGUACAGGAAAAGUUGUUGUCGUGAAUGCAUGAGAUUAUAUGUUUUUUUGAAAG
Molecule: long non-coding RNA, 818 nt
Filed under: Populus tremula
Lineage: Eukaryota; Viridiplantae; Streptophyta; Magnoliopsida; Malpighiales; Salicaceae
Description: long non-coding RNA (PTRE_LNC001234)
Source: RNAcentral